UUUAAAAUUAAUUUUGUAACGAUCUGAUUAAAACGGUAUUGAAAUUUUGAGAAAGUAUUUACAUCUGUUUCUAUAAGAAUUCUAAUAAAGUAAAUACCGUACGAUAUGGAUAGUGAUAAUGAUUUUACAAGUGCAACUGGAGCGAUGAUGGAAAGUAUGAAAUGCAUUGUAGGCGAAUUUAAUGAACGAUGUUCGAAUAUGUCGAUUCUUUUUGAUACCUUUUUAUCAGAAACGUUAAAUUAUGGAGGUAAUAGAAUAAAAUAGCUUAAAAAGCAUAGAGGAGGCGAUUUUGCACGAAAAAAAUCAUGAACAGUCUAAACAUAAAUCUAUUGAAAGUCGCAUUAAUAGAAAUACUGAAUAUCUAAAAAAACGAGAAGUCGAAUUAGAAAGAAUAAAAGCAGAGAAGACUAACAAAGAAGAAGAAUUAUCAGAACUGGAGAGACAAGUAAAAAAACAACGAGAAAAUAUAGCAUCCAGAUUAGAACUGAAGGAACGUAUUAAGGCGAAAAAAGAUGAAAUAUUAACAUACAAACUUCUAACAAGGACCAGUUUCGAUUAUUCAGGAAAAAAAGUUACAGGAUUGGUGUCUAAUGAGAGAUUGAAAUAUUUUAAGUUGGAUCCUGAAAAGUUAAGUCAAGACGAAAUAACUCAAGCUUUGUGGCAGUUGAUUAUUGACGAUGAAGACAACACUAAAAAAUAACAUUUUGGUAUUUUUAAGUUAAGUCUAAUGUCAUUAAUAUAUUCAAUUUUUUCUUUUAGAGCGAUAGGAGUGAAAUAAAUUUGCACUUGUCACUGUUAAAAAUGAUACGGUAAAUAAUAUACAUAACACAACAACUAAGAACAUUCCCUGGCCAAAUAUAGCACUGAAGAUUGUAAAUAUUCCUAAAAAAACAAACAAACUAAUGAAGUUUACAAAUAAAUGUUAUAUUAACGAUUAAA
Molecule: RNA transcript, 939 nt
Organism: Sitophilus oryzae (rice weevil)
Lineage: Eukaryota; Metazoa; Arthropoda; Insecta; Coleoptera; Curculionidae
Exons: 4
Source: RefSeq, a predicted model, not a curated record